Chlorocebus sabaeus (green monkey) is the source of this 548-nucleotide non-coding RNA. Lineage: Eukaryota; Metazoa; Chordata; Mammalia; Primates; Cercopithecidae. The record is from RefSeq and is a predicted model, not a curated record.
CUGCAUUUGCAAAUGCCAGGAAGAGGAAACUGCUGAGAAAUCGAAACUACUGGGGAAAGGGAGGGCCCACUGAGAACCAUCCCGCUAACCCGACCACCACUGGCCUUCGCAGGACACCAUGAACCACACGGUCCAAACUGUCUUCUCUCCUGUCAACAGCGGCCAGCCCCCCAGCUAUGAGAUGCUCAAGGAAGAGCACGAGGUGGCUGUGCUGGGGGCACCCCACAACCUUGCUCCCCCGACGUCCACCGUGAUCCACAUCCGCAGCGAGACCUCCGUGCCCGACCAUGUCGUCUGGUCCCUGUUCAACACCCUCUUCAUGAACCCCUGCUGCCUGGGCUUCAUAGCGUUCGCCUACUCCGUGAAGUCUAGGGACAGGAAGAGUGGUUGGCGACCCGACUGGGCCAGGCCUAAAGCCUCUCCACCGCCAAAGUGCCUUGAAACACUGAUUUUGGGCAUCCCUCGCGACCAUUCUGCUCAUUGUCGUCCCAGUAUUGAUCUUCCAAGCCCAUCAAUAGGUCAGGAGACAUCAUUCAGGCCAGGAGCUC